UCGCCUGCGCACACUUGUGACAAUAUAAUCAAAUGUCUGAACGGAUACACUACAGUUAUAUUUUUCACUACGUGUUUGCAAAAAAUAUACUUUAAGUGACAUUUUUACAGUGAAAGUGCGCGGGUGUUAGUCACAGAUUCAAAAUUUGCUAUUUGAAAAUCGAACAUUUAUGUUUCAUGUGGUGGUUGUGGAAUUAAAUGAAAAUCUUUUGAAAAUUUUUUAAAUUCUCAUUUCGAAAUAGAUUAUAGAACUGUGAUAUUUAUGGGUGUAAUGGCUUUUCACGUUUUGUGGUUCUUUUUAUUUUUAAUCGCGAUGAUACGUGCACAGGAUUGUCGGACGAGUGGACAAAGGUGCGGUGUACACGAGCAAUGUUGCGGUGGAUGUUGCUAUGAAGGACACUGCAUUGAUACGUAUCGCUCGUGUCUCCAAUCUUUCAACGUGUGCCGUGACCAUGUCUGCAUCGGUAAAGAGAAUUGCGUGGAGUUCCGACCGCCAGGCUGUCUUCGAUGCGAACCAAUGCCGAUUUGUCGACUGUAGCUUUAGGGAUUGUGUUUAUGAAAAUGCAAGCUAUAAGACAAAGACACUUGCAUGGAUUGUUAAAUUGUUUUUACGUUUAAUUGCAAUUAAUUAUAGUCAGAAACAAUAAAUAUGGAAUGUUCAUUCCUUUGUUAUGCGAUACGUUUUAUUAACACGCUUUUAUUAGCUUCACCUAUAUGUUUGUAUAUAACCGACUCUUUUAGAUUUGAUUUUGAAUCACUUCAAAUGGAAAGCGAUCGGUGAUAAUACAAUACUUUUUAUGAGUUUGUUUUCUUAUGUUGAUUCUGCGAUUAUAUAGCCAGGAUGAAAUAAUUUAACUCUAUCAUUAAUUCAUUCGUUUUUUUAAACUGUAUUUAAUAUCGUAUUUUAUAUUUCUGCACUCUCAAUGGAUAUAAAGGUUUAUUUAAAACGGAGUGUAGUUUUGUAAACAUAGUUAAACAGAGUGAAAAUUUCUAUUUAAACUUCCGAGCAGCCGCUCCAAGUUUGCCUUUUAGACGAAAGUUUAGCAGCAUUUGUAAACGAUCUUAUAUUUUACUUCUCUAACUAGUUUCUAUUGUUUGCAAUUAAUGCAAAAUAUUUUUCACCAUUUUAGAAGUUAAAAAUGAAAAUUAUACCAUUAGCAUAACUUUUCUGCAGAUCAUAAUUAUUAAACGUAAUUAGAUAUCUAUAUAAAUAAUUAGUAUAGGCCUUUGAUGCCUAUUCUGAUCCAUUUAGGACAUAUUUUUUACAUGUUGGUGUCGCUAUCGUUACUAAACCUCAAAAUGAUGGAACUAUAUAACUAGAAUUGUUUAAACUCAUGAAUCACUUAUAUAUUUAUGUACGAGUAUAGUAAUUACCCACACACAGAGUAAGUAUCCUAUUUUGGGACUUAAAAAUAUGUAUUAUACAAGAACCAGCCAUGUGUAAGAGGAGUAUAAUUUAUACGAAUCGAAUUUGUUUUUUAUUUACUGACUGCCUGUACUGAAGCAUUUCUUACAAAAUUAAAUUAAAUGAAACACAAAGUCAAGGAAUCUAUAACUAUAUU
Zerene cesonia (dogface butterfly) is the source of this 1561-nucleotide long non-coding RNA. RefSeq lists it as uncharacterized. The transcript is spliced from 3 exons. The record is from RefSeq and is a predicted model, not a curated record. Lineage: Eukaryota; Metazoa; Arthropoda; Insecta; Lepidoptera; Pieridae.